This 65-nucleotide transfer RNA is filed under the name Agelena silvatica. RNAcentral's name for it is "tRNA-Met". The record is from RNAcentral. Lineage: Eukaryota; Metazoa; Arthropoda; Arachnida; Araneae; Agelenidae.
AAUAAGAUCAGCUAAUUAUAAGCUUAUGGGUUCAUACCUCAUAUAUGAAAUAAUUACUCCUUCUU